Molecule: ribosomal RNA, 482 nt
Filed under: uncultured bacterium
Lineage: Bacteria
Description: partial 16S ribosomal RNA
Rfam family: Bacterial small subunit ribosomal RNA
Source: RNAcentral
AUUGAACGCUGGCGGCAUGCCUUACACAUGCAAGUCGAACGGUAACGGGCCUUCGGGUGCCGACGAGUGGCGAACGGGUGAGUAAUACAUCGGAACGUGCCCGAUCGUGGGGGAUAACGAGGCGAAAGCUUUGCUAAUACCGCAUACGAUCUACGGAUGAAAGCAGGGGACCGCAAGGCCUUGCGCGGACGGAGCGGCCGAUGGCAGAUUAGGUAGUUGGUGGGAUAAAAGCUUACCAAGCCGACGAUCUGUAGCUGGUCUGAGAGGAUGAUCAGCCACACUGGGAGUGAAACACGGCCCAGACUCCUGCGGGAGGCAGCAGUGGGGAAUUUUGGGCAAUGGGGGCGAGCCUGAUCCAGCCAGGGCGAGUGUAGGAUGAAGGCGUUCGGGUUGUAAACUGCUUUUGUACGUAACGAAAAGCCUUCGUUUAAUACAGGAGGGUAAUGACGGUACCGGAAGAAUAAGCACCGGCUAACUACGUG